RNAcentral lists this microRNA precursor (144 nucleotides) under Gossypium hirsutum (cotton). RNAcentral's name for it is "MIR7502 microRNA precursor family". It matches the Rfam family "MIR7502 microRNA precursor family". Lineage: Eukaryota; Viridiplantae; Streptophyta; Magnoliopsida; Malvales; Malvaceae. The record is from Rfam by way of RNAcentral.
UGGUAAAAAUUUCAUCUAUUUGUAUUGUUAAAAUCUGGUGUGACUGAUGAAAUAACUAGACAAUGAGAUAUGACGUGCCACAGUACAUCAUGGUGACGUACAUGGAUCAAUUUCUUUCAAUAGAAAUAGAUAAAAUUUUUAAUA